This is a long non-coding RNA of Mesocricetus auratus (golden hamster), 866 nucleotides long. RefSeq lists it as uncharacterized. The transcript is spliced from 4 exons. Lineage: Eukaryota; Metazoa; Chordata; Mammalia; Rodentia; Cricetidae. The record is from RefSeq and is a predicted model, not a curated record.
GCUCCUUCCUUCGUGUUCUCUUAUCCUACCUCUUUUUAUGGGACAGCACAUCUCAAAAGCCCUUGUCAGAUGGUGGUGCCAGACUGUGGCCUCCAAGCCAUGAACCAAGACCCCCCCAGAACAUUUGCUUGAUAUGUAUGUGAACAAGACAGAAAAUACAGAAGACAUGAGACAUGCCUAAGUGGAGGUGGUACUCGAACGGAACAUGUGUAUUAUGGUGAAUGGCUCAGCAACCACCCACAGGGAGACUUCUGGUCAAGGCUCUCCCUCCUGCCUCUGUGUGUACUUGUGGUUCAUCUGCCCAAGUAGACUGGCAGGAAUCAGCUUUCCUCUCUGGGUGGACCUUCAGCACUUCCAUUAUUUAUCUUCUGGAGCCAGUCCAUCAUCACAACUUUGGUCAGAGAAACUUCUCUUUGCCGUGGACAGCAGUUAAUGCAGAGAUUCAAUCCAGAGAGCUGAGAGUGCUGAGGGUCUGAUCUUGCCAUUCAACCAGAAGAAUGCCUUUUCCACUCACUAAGAAAAGGAAAAUACAAGUCAGAAACCCACAGAUGCCAGCCUGCCCCAGCAGCCUUGCCUCUUCUCCUGCAGCUCCUUGGCUGCAGCUGCCUCUUCCCACAGGACGUUCUGAGACUCUGCAGGGCUGGGGAGAAGUGUGGCCCAUGGGUGCCUUCACGGGAGAGAAGUAACAAAGUCAGGGCACAGAAGCCACAGUACAAAGAACAAGCUAAAAACAAAACAAGAAAAAAGAAACCCGAACAACAAAAUCACAAAAAACCGGAGAUGUAGUGAAGUGGUCUAGUGUUUGCUUUGAAUACCUCAGAUACCAAACCAAUCAAAAGAAAUACACGGAACAUUCUCCACAGAAA